GUGCAUCGGUGACGUUUUACCCCCAUCGACUAUUAAAAGCUUCCCCAACCAGAAACUGUGGAUUGAUGGCAGCAUUCGCGCAAAACUGAAAGUGCAAACUACUGCUUUAACUCAGGGCAAGGCGACCGAAAACAUGACCAAAUACAAACAGUGUAGCUAUUCCCUCCGCAAGGCAAUCAAACAAGAUCAGCGUCAGUAUAGAGACAAAGUAGAGUCACAAUUCAACGGCUCAGACAAGAGAGGUAUGUGGCAGGGUCUACAGUCAAUCACGGACUACAAAAAGAAAACCAGUCCCGUCGCGGACCUCGAUGUCUUGCUCCCAGGCAAACUAAAUAACUUCUUUGCUCGCUUUGAGGACAAUACAGUGCCACCGACACGGCCUGCUUCCAAAACCUGUGGGCUCUCCUUCACAGCAGCCAACGUGAGUAAAACAUUUAAAUGUGUUAACCCUCACAAGGCUGCCAGACCAGACGGCAUUCCCAGCCGCGUCCUCAGAGCAUGCGCAGACCAGCUGGCUGGUGUGUUUACUGACAUAUUCAAUCAAUCUCUAUCCCAGUCUACUGUUCCCACAUGCUUCAAGAGGGCCACCAUUGUUCCUGUUCCCAUGAAAGCUACGGUAACUGAGCUAAACCACUAUCGCCCCAUAGCACUCACUUCUGUCAUCAUGAAGUGCUUUGAGAGACUAGUCAAGGAUCAUAUCACCUCCACCCUAUCUGACACCCUAGACCCACUCCAAUUUGCUUCCCGCCCCAAUAGGUCCACAGACAACGCAAUCAAUCACACUGCACACUGCCCUAACUCAUUUCAGCCCUCUCCUGUACUCCCUGUUCACCCAUGACUGCACGGCUAUGCACUCCUCCAACUCAAAUAUCAAGUUUGCAGACGACACUACAGUGGUAGGCUUGAUUACCAACAAUGACGAGACGGUCUACAGGGAGGAGGUGAGGCCCGCAGAGGGUGGUGUAAGGAAAAUUAUCUCACACUUAACGUCAACAAAACAAAGGAGAUGAUCGUGGACUUCAGGAAACAGCAGAGGGAGCUGCUCCCUAUCCACAUCAACGGGACAGUAGUGGAGAAGGUUGAAAGUUUUAAGUUCCUCGGCGUACACAUCACGGACAAACUGAAAUGGUCAACCCACAUAGACAGUGUGGUGAAGAAGGCGCAACAGCGCCUCGUCAACCGCAGGAGGCUGAAGAAAUGUGGCUUGUCACCAAAAACACUCACAAACUUUUACAGAGGCACAAUCGAGAGCAUCCUGUCGGGCUGUAUCACCACCUGGUAUGGCAACUGCUCGCCCACAACCGUAAGGCUCUCCAGAGGGUAGUGAGGUCUGCACAACGCACCACCGGGGGCAAACUACCUCCAGGACACCUACACCACCUCUCACAGGAUGGCCAAAAAGAUCAUCAAGGACAACAACCACCCGAGCCACUGCAUGUUCACCCCGCUAUCAUCCAGAAGGCGAGGUCAGUACAGGUGCAUCAAAGCUGGGACUGAGAGACUGAAAAACAGCUUCUAUCUCAAGGCCAUCAAGACUGUUAAACAGCCAUCACUAACAAUGAGUGGCUGCUGCCAACAUACUGAUUCAAAUCUCAAACCACUUUAAUAAUAACAAAUUGGAUGUAGUAAAUGUAUCACUAGUCACUUUAAACAAUAGCACUUUAUAUAAUGUUUACAUAUCCUACAUUACUCAUCUCAUAUGUAUAUACUGUAUUCUAUACCAUCUACUGCAUCUUGCUUAUGCCGUUCGGCCAUCACUCAUCCAUAUAUUUAUAUGUACAUAUUCUUAUUCAUUCCUUUACACUUGUGUGUAUAAGGUAGUGGUUGUGAAAUGGUUAGAUUUCUUGUUAGAUAUUACUGCAUGGUUGGAACUAGAAGCACAGGCAUUUCACUACACUCGCAUUAACAUCUGCUAACCAUGUGUAUGUGACCAAUAACAUUUGAUUUGAUUUGAUUUAGACCUGGGACACCAGGAAGGUGCAAUUAAUUAUUAGGUCGAACAGAAAACCAGCAGGCUCCGGGCCUCGAAGGGCAAAAUUCCAGGUAACCUUGGAGUGGAAAGUUAUGCCUUACCAGUUUGCUUCUGAGGAAGAGCUGCAAAAGAAAGUAAGUAGCUGUAUUAGGUGGAAAUAUAGAAGGUCAUUUCGUCCAACUUCAUUCAAAAUAUAGAUGUUUUUCUUGAGACAAUAUGUGUGGGUAUAGGCAGAUGUUGUAAUUGGAGGAUGCAUUUGGGCAUAUUCUAUAAUGAGAUUCAAUAGACUACAUCUGUCCGUACAAACGUUGAGAAAUGAUGACGUAAUUUAAAUUUGUAUUGCUCUCUUCCACCUUAAACCCCAUGAGCUCUCUC
Long non-coding RNA from Oncorhynchus tshawytscha (Chinook salmon), 2347 nucleotides. The record is from Ensembl. NCBI's taxonomy places the organism in Eukaryota, Metazoa, Chordata, Actinopteri, Salmoniformes, Salmonidae.